Molecule: non-coding RNA, 82 nt
Organism: Ciona savignyi (Pacific transparent sea squirt)
Lineage: Eukaryota; Metazoa; Chordata; Ascidiacea; Phlebobranchia; Cionidae
Source: Rfam
GUCGUCGUGGCCGAGUGGUUAAGGCGACAGACUAGAAAUCUGUUGGGCUCUGCCCGCACAGGUUGGAAUCCUGUCGGCGACG